CCGCCCAGAGGUAAACGGGUGGAUCCGCAUAGUCGGUCCGCGGAAUUCAGCGCGGCGCGCGGUCCGGGGCUGCUGCUGUUCGGGAUCCUUCGGGAACCGACAGUGGUGCCGAGCCGGACCCCGCCGCGUGCACUUUCCGCGGACAGAGAGCCACAACCGGUUUGGUGGGCGGCCACGACCCGGAAGGGUUGCCGGGGGGGCGCUCCCGUCCCUACCACCCCCCCGCGGCGAAUCCCCCCCGGAACGAGGAACCGCCCCGCGCUUCCAGGCCCCCCUCCCUUCCCGGUGAAUUCCACUGGGAAAAACUGGGCCACCGUGUCUCCCGACCGCUCACUUGCCACUGGCGCGGGGCUGGCCGGGCCAACACUUGGGUUGGUGGCUAGUCGGUCGGCCUUCCACCCCACCCGCCUAGAAACAUGGACCAAGGAAUCUAAGAUGCGCGCGAGUCAUUGAGCGGUUCGAAUCCCAAAAGCCCAAUGGAACCGAGGGCCUGUCGGCCGGCCCAAGGGGCAUCCUAUCACUUCCUCGGCUCUUCG
RNAcentral lists this ribosomal RNA (536 nucleotides) under Bertia cambojiensis. RNAcentral's name for it is "partial large subunit ribosomal RNA". The record is from RNAcentral. Lineage: Eukaryota; Metazoa; Mollusca; Gastropoda; Stylommatophora; Dyakiidae.